AGUCACUGACAUUAGAUACCCCUGUAGUCCAGGGUGUAAACGCUGCAGACUUGGUGUUGGAAGCCCUUUGGGGGCAUUCAGUGCCGGAGAGAAGUUGUUAAGUCUGCUACUUGGGAGUACGUCCGCAAGGAUGAAACUUAAAGGAAUUGGCGGGGGAGCACCGCAACGGGAGGAGCGUGCGGUUUAAUUGGAUUCAACGCCGAAAAACUCACCAGCAGCGACUGUUACAUGAAAGUCAGGUUGAUGACCUUACUAGAUUUUCAG
RNAcentral lists this ribosomal RNA (264 nucleotides) under uncultured archaeon. RNAcentral describes it as "partial 16S ribosomal RNA". It matches the Rfam family "Archaeal small subunit ribosomal RNA", at positions 718 to 982 of the family's 1478-position model. The record is from RNAcentral.